UAUAAUCAUGGGGUACUGGCUUUUCGUAUAAUUAGAAUAUCAAUGAUAAUAUUUGAUAUUAUCUAUGUAACUUGAUUUAUCUUCCAUGUGAGACUAUGAUCCACUUGCUCGAUACCCUUUCAGAUCUAAGAUAGUAAUGUUCAAUAAAUACUUUGAAAGAAUUAGAUGGGGGAGUUCAUAAAUUUAGAUGUUUUGCUCUUCACUUCCAAAAGGGAUUUUGGUGGCGAAUUUCAUUUUGCUUGGGCAUGCACCACAAUAUUGGCUAGAUAAGUUUCUCUUAUUAACUUUCUAUCGAAUAAUUUCGAGCUAUUUUGAUAUUGCUAUUUAUUUAUUUAUUUAUC
This is a long non-coding RNA of Salvia hispanica, 341 nucleotides long. RefSeq lists it as uncharacterized. The record is from RefSeq and is a predicted model, not a curated record. NCBI's taxonomy places the organism in Eukaryota, Viridiplantae, Streptophyta, Magnoliopsida, Lamiales, Lamiaceae.